RNAcentral lists this ribosomal RNA (282 nucleotides) under uncultured Prevotella sp. Its description in RNAcentral is "partial 16S ribosomal RNA". It matches the Rfam family "Bacterial small subunit ribosomal RNA", at positions 74 to 355 of the family's 1533-position model. The record is from RNAcentral. Lineage: Bacteria; Pseudomonadati; Bacteroidota; Bacteroidia; Bacteroidales; Prevotellaceae.
CCUAACCUUUGAGUGGCCGGACCGGCGCACGGGUGAGUAACACGUAUCCAACCUACUCCUUACAACGGAAUAACUCGGCGAAAGUCGGACUAAUACCGUAUGAUAUCCUAUGCAGGCAUCUAAAUAGGAUUAAAGGUUUAGCGGUAAGGGAUGGGGAUGCGUCUGAUUAGGCAGUUGGCGGGGUAACGGCCCACCAAACCGACGAUCAGUAGGGGUUCUGAGAGGAAGGUCCCCCACAUUGGAACUGAGACACGGUCCAAACUCCUACGGGAGGCAGCAGUC